Molecule: long non-coding RNA, 289 nt
Filed under: Gossypium raimondii (Peruvian cotton)
Lineage: Eukaryota; Viridiplantae; Streptophyta; Magnoliopsida; Malvales; Malvaceae
Description: long non-coding RNA (GRAI_LNC011182)
Source: RNAcentral
AUCGACACUACCUAGAUUCGAUCAGGAACAUAAUACGACUCGUCACAUCAUUCGAAUCAAGCUCGUAUCAGUUGGUAUCAGAGCUAGUUAAUUUAGGUACGUAAAUUGUAGUUUCAAAAAAAAAUUCGAAAAAAAAUCAAAAAAUAUUGAAAAGAAAAAAAAUUGAAAAAAAAUUGCAUACGGUCUAGGUGCGGACGAAAAGACGUGAAAGAUCCGUAAAAAAAAAAGAGUCUGGAGACACUUCAAUAGAAAUUUUUCCAAAAUCACAUUCUACAUUCCUUAAUAUCCC